CCUACGGGAGGCAGCAGUGGGGAAUAUUGGGCAAUGGAGGAAACUCUGACCCAGCGACGCCGCGUGCGGGAUGAAGGCCUUCGGGUUGUAAACCGCUUUCAGUAGGGAAGAAGCGAAAGUGACGGUACCUACAGAAGAAGCACCGGCUAACUAUGUGCCAGCAGCCGCGGUAAUACAUAGGGUGCAAGCGUUGUCCGGAAUUAUUGGGCGUAAAGAGCUCGUAGGUGGUUUGAUACGUCGGGUGUGAAAUUCAGGGGCUCAACCCCUGACCUGCAUUCGAUACGGUCAAGCUAGAGUUUGGUAGGGGAGACUGGAAUUCCUGGUGUAGCGGUGGAAUGCGCAGAUAUCAGGAGGAACACCGAUGGCGAAGGCAGGUCUCUGGGCCAAUACUGACACUGAGGAGCGAAAGCGUGGGGAGCGAACAGGAUUAGAUACCCUGGUAGUCCACGCCGUAAACGGUGGGCGCUAGUUGUGCGAACCUUCCACGGUUUGUGCGACGCAGCUAACGCAUUAAGCGCCCCGCCUGGGGAGUACGAUCGCAAGAUUAAAACUCAAAUGAAUUGACGG
This 567-nucleotide ribosomal RNA is filed under the name uncultured bacterium. RNAcentral's name for it is "bacterial SSU rRNA". It matches the Rfam family "Bacterial small subunit ribosomal RNA", at positions 338 to 916 of the family's 1533-position model. The record is from RNAcentral.